CAUCUGAGGACCCCCAAAGCUGGCCCUGCCUGCCCAUAGUAAGUGUUUAAUACAUAUUUUUUCUUGAGUGUACAUGUUAUUUCUUGAGUACAGGCCUCAUCACUCAAAGCUCAGUUGUCUAUAAAUGGAGAUGGAAUAGAUGUUCAUCUUAUAGAUAAUCUUUAAAAAACUCCUGAGUCGACUCAAUGUAAGCCUCUUCCAACCACAUGAUUUGCUCAUCAGCUGUAGCGUGGAUCAGAUUUGAGUGUCAUGAACAUUGUCAUUUGCAAGAGGGGGAGGUUCUCAGCAGAGAGGAGGAUGGUUCAGAAGCACUUAGAUGCACACAUUUGUUGAGGCAACACUACUUCCAAAGUUGGGGGGCUGUUGAGUUGUCUCAGGAGGGUCAUAGAGUAGUAUAUUAAGGCCAUUAAAGAGGCAGGGGACAGUCUGUCUCCGAUCGGUGGGGGAGAAAUCAAAUGACAGGUGCCUGGAGUCUUAACUCCACCUCUUGUGGGGAGAGGGGAUAGAAAUUAGGUUUUAUUUGGGUGUAACUAAGGGAAGAACAGCUCUGAGGCUUCCAUGAGUGCCAGACACACUCUGUCCAUGGGGCACAGUGGGGGAAGUGUUUGACCUCUCGCUUGGGACGAGCCACUUUUCCACCACCAUGUCAUCACGCGCACCCGACUAUAGCUUGCUAAAGUGCCACUUUUUGGAGAUGCAGGUUUUCUGGCAGCCAGAGAGCUUGAACCUCGCCCUGUCCUUUGGUGCCUCCGUCAUAUGCUUGGUUCUGGAGCGUGGUGCUGAUGGAGACGGUGACUCGGCUGAUGUGAGCCUGCAGGACCCCCACCUGUGUGGCGCCUAUCAGCCUCAGUUCUGGACAAGGCCUUGUUGGAAAGGAUCCUGAGUUGGCCUUUCUGAGAAGGUAAAAUCCUGGAGGGGGAGAUGGAGUGAAUUAUUUGAGACGUGGUGGAGCAGCAACCCCGGGGGCCUCCAUGACUCUGAGGGCGUCGGACCUCAAGUGUUGGAGAAGAGCAAGGAGGCAGUGGCACAUGGGGAAACAGGCCAGUGAGCAGUAGCAGGGCCUUUCCUAGGUGCUGGGCAGAUGCCAACAGCCAUGGCCCCAUAGGCAUCUCAUCCAGGUCACCUGAACCCAGCGGAAGAGAGGGAAGGAAGCUGCAGGAAGCAGCUGCCAGCUUGGCUGCAGGAUUUGGACAGGAUCUGCUCCGGCUGUGGCUGGUGGGCACCUGCCAUGUGCUCAGACGCGGAAGAAGGCACUGAAGGAGGAGCAGGAUCCCGGCCUGGACGUGUCUGAAAGUUUGAAAGAUUGGCCUUUCUAAUGUGCAGGUUUUUUGUUCACCUGACCUUGAUUUUUAUGUAUGGUCCAGGGUAAAAAUCCUUCCCAUACAGGCAAUUGCAUGACUUUCCCACUGUAACAAAUCACCACCAAUUCAAACAGGCUCAGAAUAACAACAAUGGAUUGUCUUGCAAUUUUACAACUUAGAACUGGGUUUUGCUGGCUAAAAUAAAUGUGUCACCAGGGCUACACCUGGAGGCUCUGGGGAGGAGUUUUGGCUGUUCCAUCCCAUCUUCUAAGCCAGUCAAGUUUCUCUUGUGUCCCAUCAAUCUGACACUGAUCUUUCUGCCUCUUUCACUGAUGAGGAGGCUUGUGAUUAUAUUAGGUCCUCUGGGAUGAUCCAACAUGAUCUCGUCUCCAAAUCCUGAAAUUAGACACAUCUCUAAAGUUCACAUAAGGACAUAUCCACAGCUUUAAGAGAUUAGGACCUGGACAUCUUUGGGGAAGCAUUUUUCUUCCUUCUUGAUAAUCAGUACAUUUAGCACAAUGUAGUGAAUCUUUUCUGAACCAGAAGGCAGGCCGCCACUGGUCUGGUGAUAACAAUAGCAAACACUAAGUGAUUAUAAUGUACAAGGACUGUUUGCAUAUUAUCUCAUUUAAUUUGCAAAACAUUUUGGCCAAGCACUACUAUUGUUAUUAUUCCCAUUUUAGAGAUGAGUAAAGUGAGGCCAGAGAGUGAAGUUUCCCUUAGCAAUGCACACAUGCCUAAGUCUCAUAACUUUUUGAGCUUCAGGUUCAUUAUCUGUGAAAUUGCAACAGUGAUAGAGCUCUUUUGUGUUUAACAGGGCUCCUGUGAGGGUGCCUGGAGACAAGUUGUUAGAAAAUAUUUCAGGUAGAAAACAGGGCGGCACAAGUCAUUUCCUGUGCCUCCUUCCUCCCCUCAGCCUAAAUUGGGACUGGGACUCAGGUUUCCUGGCAGCCACACUGGGUUGGUAACUAUAGCAGUUAGAGAUUCCAGUUAUCAGACUGAACAUUUUCCCUUCUCAACCUCCUGCCUGAAGCAGUGAGCAUCAAAGUAAUGGCUGUGCAUUCAACUAUUAAAAAUGCCAUCAAAUCUCAGAUGAUGCUAUUAACAAAAUCCAAAUAGAAUAAUACUUAAUUGACACAGAGUAAAGUUUACAAG
Long non-coding RNA from Condylura cristata (star-nosed mole), 2456 nucleotides. RefSeq lists it as uncharacterized. The record is from RefSeq and is a predicted model, not a curated record. Lineage: Eukaryota; Metazoa; Chordata; Mammalia; Eulipotyphla; Talpidae. The transcript is spliced from 3 exons.